UGCUCGGUAAAGUGACCAAAACCGCCCGGGAGGAAUACCAGUAUUGUGUGGAUGUCCCAGCGGACUUCAUUGGCAUCUAUCGGAUUGGGGUGACAGCCUUUGUAACGCCAGGUUCUUCAAAUGUCGUCGUAUAUGAUUUCCAGAUGGAUUCUGGUAACUGCAAAGCGACAUUGGGAAAAACAAACUGUUCGUUUGAACAUGAUUUCUGUGACUACAUUGUAAUAGAAGGUGCACACGAAUGCAACUAUGAAUACAAAUGGAAACACACGUCAGAGAAACAAGGAUCCGACCAUUACAUGAUGGCAGAAGCACCUUUUAACAUCACCAUGUCCAUCCUGGACUCCACAGAUUUGUCGCUGGGAAGUGUGCAAAUAAAUGUCGACUGUUUCUUGCGCUUUUCGUAUCUCAGUUUGAAUUCGUCUAGUUACUUUGACG
Dreissena polymorpha is the source of this 435-nucleotide long non-coding RNA. RefSeq lists it as uncharacterized. NCBI's taxonomy places the organism in Eukaryota, Metazoa, Mollusca, Bivalvia, Myida, Dreissenidae. The record is from RefSeq and is a predicted model, not a curated record. The transcript is spliced from 3 exons.